UCCUCAUCGCAAUUCCCAUCCAUUUAGAUUUUCGAAUCCAUGCUUGAGUUGAAUGAUAUUUGGCACAGAUCUUUCAUAAACCGCGGUUUCUUAAAUGAUCUCUCACAGAUCCGACCGAUAUUUUUCAUCUUUGUUCAGAUCAGUGAUCUAUCAGCGUUCAGAUCUCGUUUAGAUUGGUGAUCUUCUUCUUCUCCCCACUAUUGUUCUUACAGAUCCGGUUAGGCCGCCGGUACCGGUUCACCUCUAAACGGAAAGAACCGGACGGUUCUUGCACAAACGGCUCAAGUAGGGGUAAGCAGACCGCUUGCGGUAGCGAAUCCGGAUUCGGCCGGUCGAUCUGGUCUUCAAAACAUUGUUUGUUCUUUAAAAGGUGUUUAACACGCCGUCAUCUAUAGCCGUUGAUGGGAAAGAGGUGGUUAUGGUCGAGAGGAAGGCUGGUGGAGAUGAGAAACCCGUUGAUGAGGAUAAGAAGUGGUUUUAGUAUUCAUUGUGAAGGAGUCAAGUCUAUUAGUUGACAAGGCUGUCAUCUGUGGUGAAUUUGGCAAGGUUUUUUGGCCAAGGAAACCAUACUUGAAUUUGAAAGUCAAAGCUACCAAAGAACCCGAGGAGAGGGUGAUUGUUUUGAAGCCGAGAACCACCAUUAGUGUAAAAAUUGUUACUCCGCCUUUGGACUCUGAUAGUGACAAUGAAACUAAAAUAACAUUGAUUUUAACUAAUGUGACCAAAACAACCUCUACAAUGUUUAUCCUCUGUUACAUGUUGGGGGUAUGUUUCUUUUACUUUAAUUGACAGUUUAUCGUAUUUUAAUUCUACGUUAAUUUAACUUUUUUCAAGUUGUAAAAUUCAUCGAGGGGUGUUUUGUGAAGAGAUUUAUAGCCGCCAUCUUGAUGGAUGCAAUUUCAAACCCAAUUAAUAACAUCUGCUUCUUUGACUUCCUUAAAAAUGUCCCCUACUUCUCAAACAACCCCAAGGUGUUGAAAGGAGCUUUGGAAGAGAAGUUUUCGUCUCUAUCUUGACAGACGGCGUCUCAAAUCCCAUUAAUGAGACCAGGAUCUUUGGUUUCCUUGAACAUGCAAAGCCUUAUAUGGAAAAGUACCCUAAGACUGUAAAGUGGAUGGUCUGUUCCAUUCCUGUUUUGGAUUUUGCAUUGAAGGUUGCCCUCCUUUAUUGGGUACAAAGCAUAUUUCUGAAGGCCACUGCUGAAAAUGGAACCGUUGCUGUGAAUGGGAAGGCUGCUACUACGAGUGGGAAGGCUGCCACUAUGAGGGGGAAGGCUGCUGUGACUGAUAAAGUUGUUGCGAGUGGGAAGGUAUUAGCUGCUGCGAAUGGGAAGGCACCAGAUGCUUAGAGCGGGAAAGCAACAGCUGCAUCGGAUGGGAAGGUGGUGGCUUUUGUAGCAGAAGACAACGAGGCUGCAACAGAAGACAAGGCAUCGGAUAUGGAGAUGUGAUUAAGAAAUAACGUGUUCCAAUGUGUAGUAGAUUGUGCAACAAAUUUUUCCAUUUUAGAUUUGCAAACAUGAACAGUUGGUAUGGUUCUGAUAU
This is a long non-coding RNA of Helianthus annuus (common sunflower), 1544 nucleotides long. RefSeq lists it as uncharacterized. The record is from RefSeq and is a predicted model, not a curated record. The transcript has 3 exons. NCBI's taxonomy places the organism in Eukaryota, Viridiplantae, Streptophyta, Magnoliopsida, Asterales, Asteraceae.